Numida meleagris (helmeted guineafowl) is the source of this 820-nucleotide long non-coding RNA. RefSeq lists it as uncharacterized. NCBI's taxonomy places the organism in Eukaryota, Metazoa, Chordata, Aves, Galliformes, Numididae. The transcript is spliced from 3 exons. The record is from RefSeq and is a predicted model, not a curated record.
AUACCAAAUACGGUCUGUCAGAAUUCUGACUGGCCUUUUUGUACUUCGUCUCCAUGAUGUGGAUGUGAAAGAGAAAGGCUGAAUGUAUCUAUUCUGGUCUCUGCAAAUUGCAUGCAGAGAUAUUUCAGGUUUCUGGCUGACACUGAGUUCAGCCACUCACCUGCUUUCUCAUUUAGACCACUGGUUGAAAUCAUAGCUACGGAGUUACCAUUGUGACAUAAACAGCAGAGAGAGUGACUUAUGCAUUAGCACUUCUCCAGUUUCACUCACCCAUCUCCAUCACGCAUUUCUUAUACUGUCUAUUUUGCACAGUCCUCAUAACUGGCACGCUCAGAUUUUAGUAUUUAUUAGCAAGAGGGUACAGCAGCAUUCAGAAAUAAAGGGAUUACACAAACAGGGACAUUUUUAAAGAACAAUCCAAUGUGAAAACUGGAAGACUGGCAAGAAGACUGAGAAACUAAUACCUUCUGGCAACAGGUUCAAAAUCAGUCUUAGUCAGCAAAAACAUUUAGAAGAUCACUGUGAAAUGAAGUUCCCAUCCAGUGCCAGGAAGUCGGAUUUCCUCACUGCAACGAUAAAUAUCUGCAGAGCUGAAGUGCACGGAAAGAAGACUGUACCAUUCCUCUGAGAGAAUGUGAUCUCCACACAAAUGUCCCCAGAUGCUCAGCCUGUGCGUUCCAGCUCUCCUCCAUUAAAAAUCCAUGUAUACUGCCACUGAUAUUAACAGUCUUUGCUAAUUAGAUGUGUGCCUCAGUUACUUUAGCUGUAACACGUUCAAGGCAAUAAGCUGUUAUACAGCAAAUUGUACAUGGAAAUUUCA